CCUGGCGGCCGUAGCGCGGUGGUCCCACCUGACCCCAUGCCGAACUCAGAAGUGAAACGCCGUAGCGCACCUGACCCCAUGCCGAACUCAGAAGUGAAACGCCGUAGCGCCGAUGGUAGUGUGGGGUCUCCCCAUGCGAGAGUAGGGAACUGCCAGGC
This 158-nucleotide ribosomal RNA is filed under the name Escherichia coli. The record is from RNAcentral. Lineage: Bacteria; Pseudomonadati; Pseudomonadota; Gammaproteobacteria; Enterobacterales; Enterobacteriaceae.